Oncorhynchus tshawytscha (Chinook salmon) is the source of this 1290-nucleotide long non-coding RNA. RefSeq lists it as uncharacterized. The transcript has 4 exons. The record is from RefSeq and is a predicted model, not a curated record. Lineage: Eukaryota; Metazoa; Chordata; Actinopteri; Salmoniformes; Salmonidae.
CCGAUGUUGAGGUGAUGAAUGCGUUUCAAUGUUUACAUUUGUACUGAAUAAAGUAAUCUUUCCAUGCAAUAUCAAACAGUAAUCGUUCAGUGUUGUGUGUCAAUUAUCCGCUUUUUAUUUUACGUAUAUUGUCUGUUUUUCAUUUUCCUAAUGUAGAUGCUUAGGACAGGUAAUAUUUCAAAGAGACCUCUUCUACGAUUUGUCAUUGCAGGAUUAUUCCUAGAAUAUUCUCACUACUACAAAUGUAAAACAGCUUGCAAUCCCGCUAUCGAUACCGGACCCAGUGUUCUGCGGUCCCGAGCAUCAACUUGUCCUGUGAGUUCCAGAAUCAGAUGCCUGUGCAGCAACAAUACAGCGCGAUGGAGCCCAGCCUAUACACAGCUCCUCCAGAGGUCCGAGGUCUGACUUGUUUGGAUAAAGAAGCCUUUGCCCAGACAGUUGUUGUCCCAGCCCUCCAGCGCCCAGGCAUGUUAAAGCGUGUUUGGCGGUCGAAGGCAGCGAUAAUGACAGGCUCUUGCUGCUGGACCCUGCCAGUGUCUCCUCACCCAACUCAUUCAGCGACGCCGAGGUGUUGCGGUCAUUUGGAGUACCUCAAGAGCUACAGCUGCAACAAGCUACGGCUGACCUAUGAUAACCUGAAGAGUGAGGAGGUUCUAUGCACUCUGCUUCCAGGGGGACAGGAUUUCACUCAGGGUUUAGUCAAGUGGUUCACAUUGCACAUAUGAACCUGCGGGAGCACCAGCUUCCCUACAGAAACAUCAUAGGCCAAGUCAUAAUGGAUAAGAACCCUUGGGUGACCUGUGUGGUCAAUAAGACCAACACCAUCGACUCCACCUACCGCUCCUUCAAGAUGGUGAUGGUUGGAGAGGAAAAUAUGGUGGCCAAAAACUUACUCGGAAACACGCGUGCUAUCUUCCUGUUGCCAACCUCUGUCUGCCUGCCCUGCUGAAGGGGACAGCCAGUGUACAUGUGAUGUGAAACUGCCGCAAGUGCACUGCUAUGUGUUCUCUAAGGAGUACGACCCUCAGAGAAACAUGGUGGAAAGGGCCUCAGCCAGCCUGGGGUUUUCCCUAGAGGGGCGGUGCUCUGUGCAUCUGGUGAGGAAUGUGGCCCCCAAUAAGGAGAUGUCUGUGACCUUCACUAUCCCCAAAGAGGUGCUCUUCAGCAGUAAGAAUACACACAGAAACCAUAGAAGAACCAGCGCCAAAGAGAUCUGGGGAGACGAAAGAUUGAAUAUAUUUGACCAAGGAAGUCAUUCUGGGACAUUAAAAUUAUACAUUUUGUUUUUGA